RNAcentral lists this long non-coding RNA (870 nucleotides) under Prunus persica (peach). RNAcentral's name for it is "long non-coding RNA (PPER_LNC005172)". Lineage: Eukaryota; Viridiplantae; Streptophyta; Magnoliopsida; Rosales; Rosaceae. The record is from RNAcentral.
UAAGCCCACUCGUGGGCAAUGGGAAACAUGGGAGUUAACCCAAGUUUCAAUCCAAUUUAGAUUAGUGAGACCUCAGUUUAACCUUUAUCUAAUCACAAUCUUUCCUCUAACUCUUAUUUCCAAGUAUAGGGUUGGCCCGUAAAUCUAAUAUCUAGAAGACUCAUAAUCUUUCCUCCACCACACGCUCAUACCUCUUGUAGAGCCAAUAGAAUCGAUAGAUAUCCCUUUCUUAUAUCCACGCUAUGGACGAAGCUUUGUAUUACGAUGGUGAUUUUUCUUCGUUUCUAUUAGAAACACCACCCUGGGAUUUUUGGAACGUAAAAGUUCCUUAAGAUACAAAACUGUCAAGGGGUUCCCAAACCCUUGACAGUUCCAAGACAGUUGUAUCAUAACUCCAUUAUAUUUGAUUUGGUCCAGCCACCACAACCCUGGAGGGGGGAAGAAUCCUCCAAACCCAUUUUGCUCCUAUAUCUCUCCAUCGCUUCAAGUUCUUUCGAAGUGCUAACCACCACCUCAUAGAUCCUUCUUUGUUGUUUUUCUCGUCCUCCCUCCAUCUUCGUGAUGAUAGGCACCGCUGCAAAUAAACAAAAUACUUAAUCUUAGCAACAUAUGCUAAAAAGCCCUCGAUCUAUUGAAUACUUAUUCAAGAUCAAAUAAUGAAUUUAAAUUGCAUAAAAUCAUUUAUGAAAGCAAAGGUCCACUCACUCCUGGUCCGAGCUUAACCUCUUGAAGGUCCUUCCUGCGGGUCGGUCUAGGCCCGUGUGCCUGAUUAAACCAUCGUGAAUACUUAAUUAAUAAACUGCUCGAUAUAAGUAUUUAAUUAAAACCCGGACCCCCCGGCUCCUAGAAGUGCAUGCACUAACUAUAAAA